CGGUGGCUCAGAAACACGGUACAGCUGUUGUGAAGGUGUCCUUGGCUCUGCCGGGUGUCAGGUCGCCAAGCUUCACGUUCAUGACCAAAAGGAAAACCUAGAGGGCUUUGUGAAGACUUUUGUCAAGUCCCCGCCCCCCGACGGCAAUCAUGGUGUAUUUGCUGUGAACUGUGAGGUGUGCUACACAGCCAAAGGUUUGGAACUUACGCAAGUGACGGUGGUUGAUCCCAGCCUUCAGGUGGUCUAUGCUACAUUUGUGAAACCAGAUGAAGAAGUAAUUGACUAUAACACUAGGUUUUCUGGUGUGGUCGAAGAGGACCUGAAGAACAUCAAAACUUCAAUCCGUGAUGUCCAAGCCAUCCUGUUGAACCUGUUCAGUGCUGACACUGUCUUAAUUGGACACAGCUUUGAAAACAGUCUUUAUGCUCUUAAGGUAAAGAAAUACAGGCUUAUACUUUUACAAAACAGUAUGUGUUAAGAUGGUAGUCAUUAUCAUUGUUAUCAGUGAUUGUUGAUUUGCCCCAUUAACUAAGAAGAAAAGAACUGCUGUCCAUGUUGAUAACAUAGUCCAACUAUUAUAAACCAGAAGCUGCAAUAUAAGACAGCUAAAGUCAUUUGGUUCAUCCAGAUCAGAAAGUCCAUUAAUUAUGAUAAAACCAAAAUCAUUGUUUAACAUCCUCUUUAAUAAUUGUCUUUAAUACUCAAAUGGGGAAGACUAAGUUUAUCUAACAGGUUAUUUUAUUCACAUCCUUAGAGACACUUUUUCAUAUUAAGUCAGGUAGGUUUAUAGGUACGCUCAAAAUCAAAUGUCAUGUUCAUUUUUUUUGGCAUGAUCUACUUGAAAAUCUCCCCUGUAAUAUACUUCAGGUUAAAAUUAUCUGUUCUUUGCUGUGUGUUCUAGAACAGGAGUCAGAACACUAUGGCCCAUGCUGGCCACCUAGUUUUUGCAAAUAUUGUUGUUAGACCCACUGCUCCCAUUCACUUCUGUAUCUUCUGUAGCUGCUUUCAUGCUACAGUAGCACUGCUAAAUAGUAGUAGCAGAGACUGUGUGGUCUCCAAGCUGAAAACAUUCACAACUGGGCACUUAAAGACGGAGUUUGGUGGCCACCCCUGCUCUAGAACACUGGCAUCCAAUCAGCCUUUCUAUAUGUUCACUAUCUACUAUGGUAGAUGGUAGCCACGUUUGGUUAUUGAACAUUUACAAUAUGUCUAAUGUGACUGAGAAAAUGAUUUUUGCAUUUUUUAGGUAGCCACAUGUGGCUGGUGGCUUAUCAGAGGGCACAGCACAGCUCUAGAACUUUGGAGACUCUAGAACUUUCAGCCACCCUAGGACUUACCUUCAGGCAAAGAAGGGCUAGUUCUUUUUUAGUGCAAGAAUACCAGUAAGGCCAUUUACAUUUCAUAGGUGGAUGUCAGCCUUUUUCUAUGUAAAGCUGGGAUUCAAAGAAUAGAUAUUUGUCUCAAAUAGCAUUGUUGUCUCUGCAUGUGACAGAUAAUACUGGAAUGUGCUUCCACUCAGACCCUGCCAAGCUGUGUGGAAAGAGAGGUGGGGACAUAAAUUUUCUGUAAGAACGCUCUUUCCAGGGAUGUCCUUCCCUCACCUUCCAUCACCUCAGUGACCUCACCUCUCAAACUGUUCAGGAGCCAUCCUAUUGCACCUGUCUCCCAGACCACACAAUUUCUAGCCGUCAUGAUUCCUCAUUGUGCUCAGUCUGUUUGUCCAGAUAACUCCUGGAUUUUCCUGUUUGUCUCUAUUUCCACCACCACCUUUUAUUUACUCAAUACUCUGCAGCCAGGAACUGGUGUCUCGUUGGUAGUUGACACAUUAAAGGAGAAUUUAAGUGCUUCUAGCAUGCUGAAUGUUAAAUCUCCAAUUCCUCAGUUUUCAGUGGGUCUUUAAAUUACUCUUGAGGCUAAUCUUCUUGCAUGCACCUUUCAAAAAUGCAACUCUCCUAAUGAAUCCAAACUGUUUCUAGGCUCUGUUGUCUGACUGCUCUUCAUCUAUCCUAUUUUCUGCUUUCUGAAACUUGUGUAAAAUUUAUUCACCAUCUUAAAUGUAUAAGCACAGGAAAUUUGGAACUAGACGGGACACAGUCCUUGUCCAUGCCCCCUCCCCGGACACAGACAAGUAAACCACUAAUCUGCGGUAGGACAUGUGCUAGGUUGAGGUGUGCCCCCCUCAGCUGAGUCCCAAGGUGGUAGGGGCAUGGCUUUGCAUCUCCCCCCAGUCUUUGAUGGACCCUCUCUGCCCUCAUGCUGCCCCCUGGUGGUGCUCUCACAGUAGGAAAGUGGUUCCCAAAGUCUUAGAUUUGAUUUCUGGGUUCUCUACUAACUCCCUUCUUAAUCUCUCAGAACUUCAGUUUUCUUGACUGUAAAGAAGGGACAAAAGGUCUACCUCAUUGAGUUACUCUGCAAGUUGUAAUGGAUAUUCCAUGUAGCAUGCUUAGUCACUGUUACAUCAUAACUGCUUCAUGUUACUUGCUUUUGUAGCAUAACUCUGCUGCUACCAUUGUUGCUGCUAUCUAUAUGGUUACUCAUUGGGAAAAUCUCUGAUAGGAUUUUCUCUUUCUUUUGACAGUUAAUUCACACUUCAGUUGUGGACACAACAGUUCUGUUUCCUCAUCGACUAGGCUUGCCUCACAAAAGAUCCCUUAAGAGUCUGGUGGCUGACUACCUACAGAGGAUUAUUCAGGAUGAUGGUAAGAGCCUGUUUGCUAAUGAUAAAUACCAGGACCCUACGUCUGACUUAAGUAAACAAACCAUGUGAUUGAUGGUAAAAGUUCUGCCCUCUGAAAUGCUUAAGGUAGGUUCUUAUUCAUGGAUUCUCUCCUAUAGUGGAAAGACUUGUACCUGCUUAUGUGAAAGCUUGUAAAAAGCCAAUGCCCACUGCCAGGUAUAGUCCUGGAUCUUCCACAGGCAUCAAAACAGCAGCUAUACAGAAAAUGAUGGCCAGAUAAUUGUUGGGCAAAUUGCCUGGCCUUUGAAUUCAUGUAUAAAACUUCUUUUGGUGUGGAGAUCGAAUUCCAUUCUAAAUUUUGCUGUGUACCCCUUUUCAUAUAGGCUUUUCAUUAAAUGAGGUUAUGAAAUUCACUGGGUUCAGGUUAUCUCACCCAGAGUAAAUGGUGUGUUGUUAGAAGAAGUAUAGCUCAAAUUCAAUACAUGCAUUAUAUGUGCACUUGACUUCUACUCAAUUAGUGUAUCUUGCUCCCAGAACAUUUUCUGGGUUUGCUGAUGAUUAACUUGUCUAAUGUUGGGUGUAUUUCAAGUACAAGUGUAGCAACCACCUCCCUUGUUAGUGGCAUUGCUGUAUGCACAGUUGAGCAGUGCAUGCCUUGGAAUAGGUCAGUUACUCAACACCUUCAUGCCCAUAUAGUUUCCUCUUACGUACAAUACAGAAGUGUAAGAAAAUUAAUUCUGAGCAUGUUAAAAUUUGUUACAAUGCUAUGUUUCUAAAGAUACCUAAGAUACGGGAAGCCCUUCUGAUCAUGUCAUGAAUUGUACAAAAUACAUAUUGUACCCCUAUGGUCUUUUUCUUUCAUUCUUUGUCUGUGAGACACUAAUACAAUCUCAAAGUGGAUCUUUACCUGCUUUGUUAAAAAUACAUCUCAAAGAGCUCCUACAAAAUUCUAUUAUAAAAUGUGUUCUAUUGCAAUCCAUCUUAAGCCUUACACAUGAAAAUAUUUCACUUAAAAAAUAGCUUAUAUAAAAGUACAGAUAUUU
Lynx canadensis (Canada lynx) is the source of this 3720-nucleotide long non-coding RNA. RefSeq lists it as uncharacterized. The transcript has 4 exons. The record is from RefSeq and is a predicted model, not a curated record. Lineage: Eukaryota; Metazoa; Chordata; Mammalia; Carnivora; Felidae.